CCGUAAGGGAGACGCGGAGGAGACAUUACCGAGUUUACAACUCCCAAACCCCUGUGAACAUACCACUUGUUGCCUCGGCGGAUCAGCCCGCUCCCGGUAAAACGGGACGGCCCGCCAGAGGACCCCUAAACUCUGUUUCUAUAUGUAACUUCUGAGUAAAACCAUAAAUAAAUCAAAACUUUCAACAACGGAUCUCUUGGUUCUGGCAUCGAUGAAGAACGCAGCAAAAUGCGAUAAGUAAUGUGAAUUGCAGAAUUCAGUGAAUCAUCGAAUCUUUGAACGCACAUUGCGCCCGCCAGUAUUCUGGCGGGCAUGCCUGUUCGAGCGUCAUUUCAACCCUCAAGCACAGCUUGGUGUUGGGACUCGCGUUAAUUCGCGUUCCCCAAAUUGAUUGGCGGUCACGUCGAGCUUCCAUAGCGUAGUAGUAAAACCCUCGUUACUGGUAAUCGUCGCGGCCACGCCGUUAAACCCCAACUUCUGAAUGUUGACCUCGGAUCAGGUAGGAAUACCCGCUGAACUUAAGCAUAUCAUAGGGCCCGGAGAGAA
Molecule: ribosomal RNA, 546 nt
Filed under: Fusarium oxysporum
Lineage: Eukaryota; Fungi; Ascomycota; Sordariomycetes; Hypocreales; Nectriaceae
Description: eukaryotic LSU rRNA
Rfam family: 5.8S ribosomal RNA (bases 177-330)
Source: RNAcentral